GUAGGGAAUAUUGCGCAAUGGGGGAAACCCUGACGCAGCGACGCCGCGUGAGUGAUGAAGGCCUUCGGGUCGUAAAGCUCUGUUGCAGGGGAAUAAAAAAAUGAAGGUACCCUGUGAGGAAGGAUCGGCUAACUUCGUGCCAGCAGCCGCGGUAAGACGAGGGAUCCUAGCGUUGCUCGGAAUCAUUGGGCGUAAAGAGGGCGUAGGUGGCUUGGUAAGUCAGGUGUGAAAGCCCAGGGCUCAACCCUGGAAGUGCAUUUGAUACUGCUGAGCUUGAGUGUCGGAGAGGUUACCGGAAUACCUGGUGUAGUGGUGAAAUACGUAGAUAUCAGGUGGAACACCGGAGGCGAAGGCGGGUAACUGGACGAACACUGACACUGAGACCCGAAAGCGUGGGGAUCAAACAGGAUUAGAAACCCGGGUAGUCC
This 428-nucleotide ribosomal RNA is filed under the name uncultured bacterium. Its description in RNAcentral is "partial 16S ribosomal RNA". It matches the Rfam family "Bacterial small subunit ribosomal RNA", at positions 354 to 796 of the family's 1533-position model. The record is from RNAcentral.